GACUGAGACACUGCCCGGACACCUACGGGUGGCUGCAGCAACGAAUAUUCCGCAAUGGGCGCAAGCCUGACGGAGCGACGCCGCGUGGAGGAUGAAGUCUUUCGGGAUGUAAACUUCAAUAGUUUGUCAGGAAGCAAAGGGACCUAAUACGUCCCGGCGUUGACCAGCGAACGAAAGGGGCGGCUAACUCCGUGCCAGCAGCCGCGGUAAGACGGAGGCCCCUAGCGUUGUUCGGAAUCACUGGGCUUAAAGAGGGUGUAGGCGGAGCAGCAAGUACUUUGUGAAAGCCCCGGGCUCAACCCGGGAAUUGCUUGGUAUACUGUUGCUCUUGAGGCAGGUAGGGGUCACUGGAACCUUAGGUGGAGCGGUGAAAUGCGUAGAUAUCUAAGGGAACGCCUGUGGCGAAAGCGGGUGACUGGGCCUGUCCUGACGCUGAGACCCGAAAGCGUAGGGAGCAAACAGGAUUAGAUACCCUGGUAGUCUACGCCGUAAACGAUGCGCACUAGGUUCGAGAGCUACUGACGGCCCUCGUGCCGAAGCAAAAGUACUAAGUGCGCCGCCUGGGGAGUACGGCCGCAAGGCUAAAACUCAAAGGAAUUGACGGGGGCUCACACAAGCGGUGGAGCAUGUGGAUCAAUUCGAAGCAACGCGAAGAACCUUACCUGGGUUUGACAUGCACGGAUGCCCUUCUGGAAACAGGAGUAAGCUGCCUUCGGGUGAAACGUGCACAGGUGCUGCAUGGCUGUCGUCAGCUCGUGCUGUGAAGUGUCGGGUUAAGUCCCUUAACGAGCGAAACCCUUGUCGCUAGUUGCCAGCGGGUCAUGCCGGGAACUCUAGCGAGACUGCCGGCGUUAAGCCGGAGGAAGGUGGGGAUGACGUCAAGUCAUCAUGGCCUUUAUGCCCAGGGUGUCACACGUGCUACAAUGGGGCGUACAGAGCGACGCAAGACCGUGAGGUGGAGCAAAUCGCAGAAAGCGUCCCUCAGUUCGGAUCGGGGUCUGCAACUCGACCCCGUGAAGCUGGAAUCGCUAGUAAUCGCGUAUCAGCCAUGACGCGGUGAUAUGUUCCUGAGCACUUGUACACACCGCCCGUCAAGUCAUGGAAGCUGGGAGU
Molecule: ribosomal RNA, 1113 nt
Filed under: uncultured organism
Description: bacterial SSU rRNA
Rfam family: Bacterial small subunit ribosomal RNA
Source: RNAcentral